UACAGGCUUAACACAUGCAAGUCGAGGGGCAGCAUUUCAGUUUGCUUGCAAACUGGAGAUGGCGACCGGCGCACGGGUGAGUAACACGUAUCCAACCUGCCGAUAACUCGGGGAUAGCCUUUCGAAAGAAAGAUUAAUACCCGAUGGUAUAAUCAGACCGCAUGGUCUUGUUAUUAAAGAAUUUCGGUUAUCGAUGGGGAUGCGUUCCAUUAGGCAGUUGGUGAGGUAACGGCUCACCAAACCUUCGAUGGAUAGGGGUUCUGAGAGGAAGGUCCCCCACAUUGGAACUGAGACACGGUCCAAACUCCUACGGGAGGCAGCAGUGAGGAAUAUUGGUCAAUGGGCGCAGGCCUGAACCAGCCAAGUAGCGUGAAGGAUGACUGCCCUAUGGGUUGUAAACUUCUUUUAUAUGGGAAUAAAGUUUUCCACGUGUGGAAUUUUGUAUGUACCAUAUGAAUAAGGAUCGGCUAACUCCGUGCCAGCAGCCGCGGUAAUACGGAGGAUCCGAGCGUUAUCCGGAU
Molecule: ribosomal RNA, 521 nt
Filed under: uncultured Bacteroidales bacterium
Lineage: Bacteria; Pseudomonadati; Bacteroidota; Bacteroidia; Bacteroidales
Description: bacterial SSU rRNA
Rfam family: Bacterial small subunit ribosomal RNA
Source: RNAcentral